This 531-nucleotide ribosomal RNA is filed under the name Lodderomyces theae. Its description in RNAcentral is "eukaryotic LSU rRNA". It matches the Rfam family "Eukaryotic large subunit ribosomal RNA", at positions 103 to 650 of the family's 3401-position model. The record is from RNAcentral. Lineage: Eukaryota; Fungi; Ascomycota; Pichiomycetes; Serinales; Debaryomycetaceae.
AAAAGCUCAAAUUUGAAAUCUGGCACUUUCAGUGUCCGAGUUGUAAUUUGAAGAAGGUAUCUUUGGGUCUGGCUCUUGUCUAUGUUUCUUGGAACAGAACGUCACAGAGGGUGAGAAUCCCGUGCGAUGAGAUGACCCAGACCUAUGUAAAGUUCCUUCGAAGAGUCGAGUUGUUUGGGAAUGCAGCUCUAAGUGGGUGGUAAAUUCCAUCUAAAGCUAAAUAUUGGCGAGAGACCGAUAGCGAACAAGUACAGUGAUGGAAAGAUGAAAAGAACUUUGAAAAGAGAGUGAAAAAGUACGUGAAAUUGUUGAAAGGGAAGGGCUUGAGAUCAGACUUGGUAUUUUGCAUGUUACUCUCUCGGGGGUGGCCGCUGCAGUUUACCGGGCCAGCAUCAGUUUGGGCGGUAGGAUAAUUGCAGAGAAAUGUGGCACUGCCUCGGUAGUGUGUUAUAGUCUUUGUCGAUACUGCCAGCCUAGACUGAGGACUGCGGCUUCGGCCUAGGAUGUUGGCAUAAUGAUCUUAAGUCGCCC